GAGUUUGAUCCUGGCUCAGAUUGAACGCUGGCGGCAGGCCUAACACAUGCAAGCCGAGCGGAUGACGGGAGCUUGCUCCUUGAUUCAGCGGCGGACGGGUGAGUAAUGCCUGGGAAUCUGCCUGGUAGUGGGGGACAACGUUUCGAAAGGAACGCUAAUACCGCAUACGUCCUACGGGAGAAAGCAGGGGACCUUCGGGCCUUGCGCUAUCAGAUGAGCCUAGGUCGGAUUAGCUAGUUGGUGGGGUAAUGGCUCACCAAGGCGACGAUCCGUAACUGGUCUGAGAGGAUGAUCAGUCACACUGGAACUGAGACACGGUCCAGACUCCUACGGGAGGCAGCAGUGGGGAAUAUUGGACAAUGGGCGAAAGCCUGAUCCAGCCAUGCCGCGUGUGUGAAGAAGGUCUUCGGAUUGUAAAGCACUUUAAGUUGGGAGGAAGGGCAGUAAGUUAAUACCUUGCUGUCUUGACGUUACCGACAGAAUAAGCACCGGCUAACUCUGUGCCAGCAG
RNAcentral lists this ribosomal RNA (510 nucleotides) under bacterium enrichment culture clone ALO1_GLFRUDD03FTXNL. RNAcentral's name for it is "bacterial SSU rRNA". It matches the Rfam family "Bacterial small subunit ribosomal RNA", at positions 9 to 514 of the family's 1533-position model. The record is from RNAcentral.